Molecule: ribosomal RNA, 253 nt
Filed under: uncultured bacterium
Lineage: Bacteria
Description: partial 16S ribosomal RNA
Rfam family: Bacterial small subunit ribosomal RNA
Source: RNAcentral
UACGUAGGGGGCAAGCGUUGUCCGGAUUUAUUGGGCGUAAAGAGCGUGUAGGCGGUCUGGUAGGUCCGUUGUGAAAACUCGAGGCUCAACCUCGAGACGCCGAUGGAAACCCUCAGACUAGAGUCCGGAAGAGGAGAGUGGAAUUCCAUGUGUAGCGGUGAAAUGCGCAGAUAUCGGGAGGAACACCGGUGGCGAAGGCGGUUCUCUGGGCCUGUACUGACGCUGAGGAGCGAAAGCGUGGGGAGCGAACAGG